RNAcentral lists this ribosomal RNA (483 nucleotides) under Staphylococcus aureus. RNAcentral's name for it is "partial 23S ribosomal RNA". It matches the Rfam family "Bacterial large subunit ribosomal RNA", at positions 360 to 846 of the family's 2925-position model. The record is from RNAcentral. Lineage: Bacteria; Bacillati; Bacillota; Bacilli; Caryophanales; Staphylococcaceae.
GAAGGUAAUAAUCCUGUAGUCGAAAAUGUUGUCUCUCUUGAGUGGAUCCUGAGUACGACGGAGCACGUGAAAUUCCGUCGGAAUCUGGGAGGACCAUCUCCUAAGGCUAAAUACUCUCUAGUGACCGAUAGUGAACCAGUACCGUGAGGGAAAGGUGAAAAGCACCCCGGAAGGGGAGUGAAAUAGAACCUGAAACCGUGUGCUUACAAGUAGUCAGAGCCCGUUAAUGGGUGAUGGCGUGCCUUUUGUAGAAUGAACCGGCGAGUUACGAUUUGAUGCAAGGUUAAGCAGUAAAUGUGGAGCCGUAGCGAAAGCGAGUCUGAAUAGGGCGUUUAGUAUUUGGUCGUAGACCCGAAACCAGGUGAUCUACCCUUGGUCAGGUUGAAGUUCAGGUAACACUGAAUGGAGGACCGAACCGACUUACGUUGAAAAGUGAGCGGAUGAACUGAGGGUAGCGGAGAAAUUCCAAUCGAACCUGGAGAU